AGUGAACGCUGGCGGUAGGCCUAACACAUGCAAGUCGAACGGCAGCACAGUAAGAGCUUGCUCUUACGGGUGGCGAGUGGCGGACGGGUGAGGAAUACAUCGGAAUCUACUUUUUCGUGGGGGAUAACGUAGGGAAACUUAUGCUAAUACAGCAUACGACCUACGGGUGAAAGCAGUGGAUCUUCGGACCUUGCGCGAUUGAAUGAGCCGAUGUCGGAUUAGCUAGUUGGCGGGUUAAAGGCCCACCAAGGCGACGAUCCGUAGCUGGUCUGAGAGGAUGAUCAGCCACACUGGAACUGAGACACGGUCCAGACUCCUACAGGCGGCAGCGAUGGAGAAUAUUGGACAAAUGCCGCAAGCCUGAUCCAGCCAAACCGCGUGGGUGAAGAAGGCCUUCAGGUUGUAAAGCCCUUUUGUUGGGAAAGAAAAGCAGCAGGUUAAUACCCCGCUGUUCUGACGGUACCCAAAGAAUAAGCACCGGCUAACUUCGUG
Molecule: ribosomal RNA, 492 nt
Filed under: uncultured bacterium
Lineage: Bacteria
Description: partial 16S ribosomal RNA
Rfam family: Bacterial small subunit ribosomal RNA
Source: RNAcentral